RNAcentral lists this non-coding RNA (62 nucleotides) under unclassified sequences. The record is from RNAcentral.
GUUCUGGUACGCUCGUACCAGAACGGCGCGCGACGGCGGGACCUGCCACCCGGUGCGCCGCU